AUUGAACGCUGGCGGAAUGCUUUACACAUGCAAGUCGAACGGCAGCACGGACUUCGGUCUGGUGGCGAGUGGCGAACGGGUGAGUAAUGUAUCGGAACGUGCCCAGUCGUGGGGGAUAACGUAGUGAGAAUUACGCUAAUACCGCAUACGAUCGAUGGAUGAAAGCGGGGGAUCGCAAGACCUCGCGCGAUGGGAGCGGCCGAUAUCAGAUUAGGGAGUUGGGGGGGUAAAGGCCCACCAAGCCAACGAUCUGUAGCUGGUCUGAGAGGACGACCAGCCACACUGGAACUGAGACACGGUCCAGACUCCUACGGGAGGCAGCAGUGGGGAAUUUUGGACAAUGGGCGAAAGCCUGAUCCAGCCAUUCCGCGUGCAGGAUGAAGGCCCUCGGGUUGUAAACUGCUUUUGUACGGAACGAAAAGGUUUCUACUAAUACUAGGAGCUCAUGACGGUACUGUAAGAAUAAGCACCGGCUAACUACGUGCCAGCCGCCGCGGUAA
This 500-nucleotide ribosomal RNA is filed under the name uncultured bacterium. RNAcentral's name for it is "partial 16S ribosomal RNA". It matches the Rfam family "Bacterial small subunit ribosomal RNA", at positions 30 to 523 of the family's 1533-position model. The record is from RNAcentral.